GUGCUCGCUUCGAUGGCACAUAUCCUAACACUCGAAAUGAUACAGAGAUCAGCACAGCUCCUGUGCGAGGAGGACACGCAAAUCUGCGAAGGCAACACGGGUGAU
Molecule: small nuclear RNA, 105 nt
Filed under: Mustela putorius furo (domestic ferret)
Lineage: Eukaryota; Metazoa; Chordata; Mammalia; Carnivora; Mustelidae
Source: RNAcentral